This 325-nucleotide ribosomal RNA is filed under the name uncultured eukaryote. Its description in RNAcentral is "partial 18S ribosomal RNA". It matches the Rfam family "Eukaryotic small subunit ribosomal RNA", at positions 1470 to 1796 of the family's 1831-position model. The record is from RNAcentral.
CCCUUAGAUGUUCUGGGCCGCACGCGCGCUACACUGACUGCUCCGACAAGUUACCUGGGCUGACAAGCAUCCGGGAAAUCUUGCAAAGGCAGUCGUGAUGGGGAUAGAUUCUUGUAAUUUUUGAUCUUCAACGAGGAAUUCCUAGUAAACGCAAGUCAUCAGCUUGCAUUGAUUACGUCCCUGCCCUUUGUACACACCGCCCGUCGCAUCUACCGAUUGAAUGGAGAGGCAAAAUCUUCGGACCGUGACGCUUGGGAGUCAAAUCUCGGGCUGUCGUGGGAAGUGGAUUAAACCUUUCUAUUUAGAGGAAGGUAAAGUCGUAACA